ACUCCUACGGGAGGCAGCAGUGGGGAAUCUUGGACAAUGGGCGCAAGCCUGAUCCAGCCAUGCCGCGUGAGUGAUGAAGGCCCUAGGGUCGUAAAGCUCUUUCGCCUGUGAUGAUAAUGACAGUAGCAGGUAAAGAAACCCCGGCUAACUCCGUGCCAGCAGCCGCGGUAAUACGGGAGGGGGUUAGCGUUGUUCGGAAUUACUGGGGCGUAAAGCGCGCGUAGGCGGACUAUUAAGUCAGAGGUGAAAUCCCGGGGCUCAACCCCGGAACUGCCUUUGAUACUGGUAGUCUAGAGUUCGAGAGAGGUGAGUGGAAUUCCGAGUGUAGAGGUGAAAUUCGUAGAUAUUCGGAGGAACACCAGUGGCGAAGGCGGCUCACUGGCUCGAUACUGACGCUGAGGUGCGAAAGUGUGGGGAGCAAACAGGAUUAGAUACCCUGGUAGGAUAGCG
This 450-nucleotide ribosomal RNA is filed under the name uncultured bacterium. Its description in RNAcentral is "bacterial SSU rRNA". It matches the Rfam family "Bacterial small subunit ribosomal RNA", at positions 335 to 799 of the family's 1533-position model. The record is from RNAcentral.